GGUCAGCGACUUAUAUUCUGUAGCAAGGUUAACCGUAUAGGGGAGCCGCAGGGAAACCGAGUCUUAACUGGGCGUUAAGUUGCAGGGUAUAGACCCGAAACCCGGUGAUCUAGCCAUGGGCAGGUUGAAGGUUGGGUAACACUAACUGGAGGACCGAACCGACUAAUGUUGAAAAAUUAGCGGAUGACUUGUGGCUGGGGGUGAAAGGCCAAUCAAACCGGGAGAUAGCUGGUUCUCCCCGAAAGCUAUUUAGGUAGCGCCUCGUGAACUCAUCUUCGGGGGUAGAGCACUGUUUCGGCUAGGGGGUCAUCCCGACUUACCAACCCGAUGCAAACUACGAAUACCGAAGAAUGUUAUCACGGGAGACACACGGCGGGUGCUAACGUCCGUCGUGAAGAGGGAAACAACCCAGACCGCCAGCUAAGGUCCCAAAGUCAUGGUUAAGUGGGAAACGAUGUGGGAAGGCCCAGACAGCCAGGAUGUUGGCUUAGAAGCAGCCAUCAUUUAAAGAAAGCGUAAUAGCUCACUGGUCGAGUCGGCCUGCGCGGAAGAUGUAACGGGGCUAAACCAUGCACCGAAGCUGCGGCAGCGACACUAUGUGUUGUUGGGUAGGGGAGCGUUCUGUAAGCCGUUGAAGGUGGCCUGUGAGGGUUGCUGGAGGUAUCAGAAGUGCGAAUGCUGACAUAAGUAACGAUAAUGCGGGUGAAAAACCCGCACGCCGGAAGACCAAGGGUUCCUGUCCAACGUUAAUCGGGGCAGGGUGAGUCGACCCCUAAGGCGAGGCCGAAAGGCGUAGUCGAUGGGAAACAGGUUAAUAUUCCUGUACUCGGUGUUACUGCGAAGGGGGGACGGAGAAGGCUAUGUUGGCCGGGCGACGGUUGUCCCGGUUUAAGCAUGUAGGCGGAUGUUCCAGGUAAAUCCGGAACGUUAUCAACGCUGAGGUGUGAUGACGAGGCACUACGGUGCUGAAGUGACAAAUGCCCUGCUUCCAGGAAAAGCCUCUAAGCAUCAGGUAACAUCAAAUCGUACCCCAAACCGACACAGGUGGUCAGGUAGAGAAUACCAAGGCGCUUGAGAGAACUCGGGUGAAGGAACUAGGCAAAAUGGUGCCGUAACUUCGGGAGAAGGCACGCUGAUAUGUAGGUGAAGUGGUUUACCCAUGGAGCUGAAAUCAGUCGAAGAUACCAGCUGGCUGCAACUGUUUAUUAAAAACACAGCACUGUGCAAACACGAAAGUGGACGUAUACGGUGUGACGCCUGCCCGGUGCCGGAAGGUUAAUUGAUGGGGUUAUCCGUAAGGAGAAGCUCUUGAUCGAAGCCCCGGUAAACGGCGGCCGUAACUAUAACGGUCCUAAGGUAGCGAAAUUCCUUGUCGGGUAAGUUCCGACCUGCACGAAUGGCGUAAUGAUGGCCAGGCUGUCUCCACCCGAGACUCAGUGAAAUUGAACUCGCUGUGAAGAUGCAGUGUACCCGCGGCAAGACGGAAAGACCCCGUGAACCUUUACUAUAGCUUGACACUGAACACUGGUCCUUGAUGUGUAGGAUAGGUGGGAGGCUUUGAAGUGUGGACGCCAGUCUGCAUGGAGCCAUCCUUGAAAUACCACCCUUUAAUGGCUGGUGUUCUAACGUGG
Molecule: ribosomal RNA, 1631 nt
Filed under: Citrobacter freundii
Lineage: Bacteria; Pseudomonadati; Pseudomonadota; Gammaproteobacteria; Enterobacterales; Enterobacteriaceae
Description: partial 23S ribosomal RNA
Rfam family: Bacterial large subunit ribosomal RNA
Source: RNAcentral